This 468-nucleotide ribosomal RNA is filed under the name uncultured bacterium. Its description in RNAcentral is "partial 16S ribosomal RNA". It matches the Rfam family "Bacterial small subunit ribosomal RNA", at positions 28 to 507 of the family's 1533-position model. The record is from RNAcentral.
GACGAACGCUGGCGGCGUGCUUAACACAUGCAAGUCGAACGGAAAGGCCCUGCUUUUGUGGGGUGCUCGAGUGGCGAACGGGUGAGUAACACGUGAGUAACCUGCCCUUGACUUUGGGAUAACUUCAGGAAACUGGGGCUAAUACCGGAUAGGAGCUCCUGCUGCAUGGUGGGGGUUGGAAAGUUUCGGCGGUUGGGGAUGGACUCGCGGCUUAUCAGCUUGUUGGUGGGGUAGUGGCUUACCAAGGCUUUGACGGGUAGCCGGGCUGGGAGGGUGACCGGCCACAGUGGGACUGAGAUACGGCCCAGACUCCUACGGGAGGCAGCAGUGGGGAAUAUUGCACAAUGGGCGGAAGCCUGAUGCAGCAACGCCGCGUGCGGGAUGACGGCCUUCGGGUUGUAAACCGCUUUCGCCUGUGACGAAGCGUGAGUGACGGUAAUGGGUAAAGAAGCACCGGCUAACUACGUG